GAUGAACGCUAGCGGCAGGCUUAAUACAUGCAAGUCGAGGGGCAGCAUGGUGUAGCAAUACACUGAUGGCGACCGGCAAACGGGUGCGGAACACGUACAGAACCUUCCUUCGAGCGGGGAAUAGCCCAGAGAAAUUUGGAUUAAUACCCCAUAGUAUAUUGGAGUGGCAUCACUUUAGUAUUAAAGAUUUAUCACUUGAAGAUGGCUGUGCGGCUGAUUAGGUAGUUGGCGGGGUAACGGCCCACCAAGCCUGCGAUCAGUAACUGGUGUGAGAGCACGACCAGUCACACGGGCACUGAGACACGGGCCCGACUCCUACGGGAGGCAGCAGUAAGGAAUAUUGGUCAAUGGACGAAAGUCUGAACCAGCCAUGCCGCGUGGAGGAUGAAGGUCCUCUGGAUUGUAAACUUCUUUUAUAUGGGACGAAAAAGGGCUUUCUAGCUCGUCUGACGGUACCAUAUGAAUAAGCACCGGCUAACUCCGUGCCAGCAGCC
This 494-nucleotide ribosomal RNA is filed under the name uncultured bacterium. RNAcentral describes it as "bacterial SSU rRNA". It matches the Rfam family "Bacterial small subunit ribosomal RNA", at positions 28 to 516 of the family's 1533-position model. The record is from RNAcentral.